This is a microRNA precursor of Callithrix jacchus (white-tufted-ear marmoset), 98 nucleotides long. Lineage: Eukaryota; Metazoa; Chordata; Mammalia; Primates; Cebidae. The record is from Ensembl.
AAAAUCGCUUACUUAGGUUGGUACGGAAGUAAUUGUACUUUGUUUCUUUAAUGGCACAAACUGCAAUUACUUUUGCACCAACCUAAGUAAGCGAUUUU